AUACCUACGGGACGCAGCAGUGGGGGAUAUUGCACAAUGGGGGAGACCCUGAUGCAGCGACGCCGCGUGGGCGAAGAAGUAUUUCGGUAUGUAAAGCCCUAUCAGCAGGGAAGAAGAAAUGACGGUACCUGAGUAAGAAGCACCGGCUAAAUACGUGCCAGCAGCCGCGGUAAUACGUAUGGUGCAAGCGUUAUCCGGAAUGAUUGGGCGUAAAGGGUGCGCAGGCGGUCCUGCAAGUCUGGAGUGAAACGCAUGAGCUCAACUCAUGCAUUGCUUUGGAAACUG
This 285-nucleotide ribosomal RNA is filed under the name uncultured bacterium. RNAcentral's name for it is "partial 16S ribosomal RNA". It matches the Rfam family "Bacterial small subunit ribosomal RNA", at positions 335 to 635 of the family's 1533-position model. The record is from RNAcentral.